AAUAGAUACCCCGGUAGUCCACGCCCUAAACGAUGCGAACUGGAUGUUGGGUUCAACUUGGAACCCAGUAUCGAAGCUAACGCGUUAAGUUCGCCGCCUGGGGAGUACGGUCGCAAGACUGAAACUCAAAGGAAUUGACGGGGGCCCGCACAAGCGGUGGAGUAUGUGGUUUAAUUCGAUGCAACACGAAGAACCUUACCUGGUCUUGACAUCCACGGAACUUUCCAGAGAUGGAUUGGUGCCUUCGGGAACCGUGAGACAGGUGCUGCAUGGCUGUCGUCAGCUCGUGUCGUGAGAUGUUGGGUUAAGUCCCGCAACGAGCGCAACCCUUGUCCUUAGUUGCCAGCACGUAAUGGUGGGAACUCUAAGGAGACCGCCGGUGACAAACCGGAGGAAGGUGGGGAUGACGUCAAGGUCAUCAUGGCCCCUUACGACCAGGGCUACACACGUACUACAAUGGUGGGGACAGAGGGCUGCAAUCCCGCGAGGGUGAGCCAAUCCCAGAAACCCCAUCUCAGUCCGGAUCGGAGUCUGCAACUCGACUCCGU
This 548-nucleotide ribosomal RNA is filed under the name uncultured bacterium. RNAcentral describes it as "bacterial SSU rRNA". It matches the Rfam family "Bacterial small subunit ribosomal RNA", at positions 777 to 1321 of the family's 1533-position model. The record is from RNAcentral.